Molecule: ribosomal RNA, 433 nt
Filed under: uncultured bacterium
Lineage: Bacteria
Description: partial 16S ribosomal RNA
Rfam family: Bacterial small subunit ribosomal RNA
Source: RNAcentral
AACGAACGCUGGCGGCAUGCCUAACACAUGCAAGUCGAACGAGACCUUCGGGUCUAGUGGCGCACGGGUGCGUAACGCGUGGGAACCUGCCCUUAGGUUCGGAAUAACUCCCCGAAAGGGGUGCUAAUACCGGAUAAUGUCUUCGGACCAAAGAUUUAUCGCCUUUGGAUGGGCCCGCGUUGGAUUAGCUAGUUGGUAGGGUAAAAGCCUACCAAGGCGACGAUCCAUAGCUGGUCUGAGAGGAUGAUCAGCCACACUGGGACUGAGACACGGCCCAGACUCCUACGGGAGGCAGCAGUGGGGAAUAUUGGACAAUGGGCGAAAGCCUGUUCCAGCAAUGCCGCGUGAGUGAUGAAGGCCGUAGGGUUGUAAAGCUCUUUUACCCGGGAUGAUAAUGACAGUACCGGGAGAAUAAGCUCCGGCUAACUCCGUG